GGUCUACUGCGGUAACGCUCGCCCGGCCUUCUAAGCCGACGGCCGGGGGUUCGAAUCCUCCCUGGCGCACCA
Molecule: transfer RNA, 72 nt
Filed under: Desulfovibrio ferrophilus
Lineage: Bacteria; Pseudomonadati; Thermodesulfobacteriota; Desulfovibrionia; Desulfovibrionales; Desulfovibrionaceae
Description: tRNA-Arg
Source: RNAcentral